GGCGCUGACUGUGCGAGCCGCAGCGCCCCCUGCAGGCGGAGCCCGGCGCGCCCAGGCCGGAGGCGGGGCCCGGGGCGGCAGCCUCCUUGCCAGCCCUGCGACCUCGGGCCCGGGCGGACCUGCGGUCGCCUCGGGGCGAAAGGGGUGGACCAGGAUAGACUGGGCGCUGGGCCCGCUCCCACGUGGGGCGGAGGCAAGAGCGCGGCGGGCCCGGGCCAGGCGGUGCGGUGCGGGGACGGGGUUCCAGAGCUGCGGGGUGACCUCCGGAGCCCAGGGCAGCGCCUGGCCGGACUGGCCCCGCUCACCCUCCGAAGAGGAACCCUGGGUUUGGCUGUGUUUUUUUUUUUAUUUUGAGGUGUUUCCCCCCUUAAUAUUAAAUCCUAAAGGAAAUAGGCAUUCAAGCUCCCUGUCCGUAGGGAAUUAUAAUCCUGGGCAAAAGAAGAGGAAACAUUUCUCUAUGAUAAACACAGAAUCUCAAUAAGAAUUGAGAACUUUUCCCACUGACUUAAACCCUGGGAAAGGAAAGGGGGAAAUGGAGUAAAGGGAAGCUGAAAGGCAAACUUUAUCGUCCUCCUGAUUUUUGCCAAGGGUUGGCUCAUCCUGUUGAUGCUCAGAAGAGAAACUGUAACACCCAAAGCAAGAACUCAGCUUGGUUUCUACGCUAGUGAAAUCGUUGAAUCUCUGGCCUGUCCCAGCAUGCUAACUGGAUUUUCAACAAUACAUCAUCCAUCUACACAAAAUGAGCAAGCACUUUUCUACAGCAUUUCCAGCUUUUCCGCAAAAACCUAAGCCCCCGCAUAAGCAAAAGACCACACUCUGCUUCAUCAAGAAGAUUACACAAUUACAGGUUCCAAUGCUGCCUGGAAGUCCUUUGAAAAAUGGCUCAGAGAAAAGCCCUGUAUUAAGGGCUUCUAUUAUAAAGCUCUGCUAUGACAUGAAAGGACUGGGAAGCUCUACCCUAGAUGAAAAUUACUUUGUACAAUCUUUAGUGCCAUCUGCUGGAAGCAGGAUUGAGCUGUUGGAAGUUCUGUGAUCUGGCUGCUUAUGACAAUAACCCAGGCUAGUUGAAGAAGGCUAGGAGGCAAUAAGAUCUUCCUUCUGUUAGUACAGUCACGACAGUCGUUAUAGAAAGGCAUGAUCAAUAAAAGCGGGGAAGUCAAGUCCUACUUUGAAAACUGGAGUUCCAUAAAGAAUAAAGUAUAAGAGCUGAAAAAGAAAUCAGAGCUACAUUAAUUUGGAAGCACACGCUGGUGCUCAAACAUUUAAAUAAAGAAGAAUAAGUGAACACGAAGAGGGGGAUUGGAAGAAAAAAGUCUUACCUGAAGUGUUUUCUUUGAAGUGUCUUAUCUUUCCUCUGCUUUUGGAAAAAGUUGAAUUUAGCACUGAGAAAUGCUUCAGACAAAUUGAAUACAUAAGAAUUGACGUGAUCUCUUUUCUAGUAAAAGGAACUACGUUUAAGAAGAAGAACAUCACUUGCUCUGUGGGGAAGCCAGUUGCCAUGUCAUAAGAACACUCAAGCAGCCCUUUAGAGAGACCCAAGUGGCAAAAAACUGAGGUCUCCUGACAAGAGGCAGGGAAAAAAAAUUUCUUGCCGACAGGCAUGUGAAUAAGCCAUCUUGGAAGAGGAUUCUCCUGACCCAGUCAGGCUUCAGAUGAUCACAGCCCCAGCUGACAUCUUGACCACAACUCCAUGCAAGAGCCACCCAGCUAAGUCAUUCCCAAAUUCCUGUUCCACAGAGACUGUGAAAUAAUAAAAUUGUGUUUGCAAAUAUCUUUUCCCAUUAUGUGGCUUGUCUUUUCACUCAUCUUAAGAUGUACUUUCUUUUUUAAUAAACUGAAGUUCUUAACAAUGUA
Balaenoptera ricei (Rice's whale) is the source of this 1854-nucleotide RNA transcript. RefSeq lists it as uncharacterized. The transcript is spliced from 7 exons. Lineage: Eukaryota; Metazoa; Chordata; Mammalia; Artiodactyla; Balaenopteridae. The record is from RefSeq and is a predicted model, not a curated record.